Etheostoma spectabile (orangethroat darter) is the source of this 122-nucleotide long non-coding RNA. RefSeq lists it as uncharacterized. The record is from RefSeq and is a predicted model, not a curated record. The transcript has 3 exons. NCBI's taxonomy places the organism in Eukaryota, Metazoa, Chordata, Actinopteri, Perciformes, Percidae.
UUUUAUCGUCGUAAAACACACUUCAUUCAAAGUCAACAGAAACAAAAUUAAACUAUCAAAACCCAUUUUGGUUAGUCUUUACACUUUUCCCAACAAUCCCAACUCUGGGUUGGUUAAAAGAA